GCGGAUACAGUGGGUAUUCCUGAUAUUCCCAGGAAUACCCAACUGUUUUAUGCACUAAGUAUAUAUAUAUAUAUAUAUAUUAGUAUUUCUAUAUUUAGCAAAUAAAAUUUUUCUCUCAUUCUUUUUGUCUAUUUUUGUAUUUCUUUUUUUACAUAGGUUCUAUGUUAGCUCGAUUGCUAAAAUUAUUAUAUUUUGUUGUUUCUACAAAUGAAACCUAAUUAUUUAUCUCCAGACCAAAUAUAUAUUGACUCAUGCCACCAAAUAUUAGUACAAAUCAUAUCUUAUUUCCAAACUCUUUUCGAAGACGAAUCGGAAUAUGCACAUGGCAACAUGUAUAAAAAACUAUUCUUUUCGUGUGAGUGAACGAGGCAUGAGUGGGAGGCAAUUCCAUAAUCCUCAUUGCUAAAUCUCUAACCCUAACCGAACAGGCAUGACGUAGUGGCGGCACUAUUGAUUCCCAGUGUCCUGAGCUCCUAGCGGCGCGGGGCGUGCAGUAGAGGUGCGACCUCUGUCUCUAUGCUACGCCUACAUGACGACCGUUGAGGACGCACGUCGGUUAUGAGGUUAGAGGCAACAGCUGAAUGACGGACCACCAGACACCAGCAAGGGAAUACCCAAGAUUUAAAUCCUGGCUCCGCCGGCGACGGUAAAAAUUAGUUGAUCUAGUUUGGAAGUGGGUCUAGUUUUUUAAUUUUAUCAAGCUCAAAUAGCAAACUGUUGGAGAUACAAUCUUUUUUUACUUAUCAUAUGGUUUAGGCACU
Molecule: long non-coding RNA, 761 nt
Filed under: Sorghum bicolor (sorghum)
Lineage: Eukaryota; Viridiplantae; Streptophyta; Magnoliopsida; Poales; Poaceae
Description: long non-coding RNA (SBIC_LNC009914)
Source: RNAcentral